GAUGAACGCUGGCGGCGUGCCUAAUACAUGCAAGUCGAACGCUUCGCUUCGGUGAAGAGUGGCGAACGGGUGAGUAAUACAUAAGUAACCUGGCAUCUACAGGGGGAUAACUGAUGGAAACGUCAGCUAAGACCGCAUAGGUGUAGAGAUCGCAUGAACUCUAUAUGAAAAGUGCUACGGGACUGGUAGAUGAUGGACUUAUGGCGCAUUAGCUUGUUGGUAGGGUAACGGCCUACCAAGGCGACGAUGCGUAGCCGACCUGAGAGGGUGACCGGCCACACUGGGACUGAGACACGGCCCAGACUCCUACGGGAGGCAGCAGUAGGGAAUUUUCGGCAAUGGGGGAAACCCUGACCGAGCAACGCCGCGUGAAGGAAGAAGUAAUUCGUUAUGUAAACUUCUGUCAUAGAGGAAGAACGGUGGAUAUAGGGAAUGAUAUCCAAGUGACGGUACUCUAUAAGAAAGCCACGGCUAACUACGUG
This 482-nucleotide ribosomal RNA is filed under the name uncultured bacterium. RNAcentral's name for it is "partial 16S ribosomal RNA". It matches the Rfam family "Bacterial small subunit ribosomal RNA", at positions 28 to 507 of the family's 1533-position model. The record is from RNAcentral.